GACCGCGAGGCAGAGCAAAGCCCUAAAAGUACGUCUCAGUUCGGAUUGCAGGCUGCAACUCGCCUGCAUGAAGUCGGAAUUGCUAGUAAUCGCAGAUCAGCAUGCUGCGGUGAAUACGUUCCCGGGCCUUGUACACACCGCCCGUCGCACCAUGGGAGUCGGUAACACCCGAAGUCGGUAGCCUAACCGUAAGGAGGGCGCCGCCGAAGGUGGGAUUGAUGACUGGGGUGAAGUCGUAACAAGGUAAC
This 248-nucleotide ribosomal RNA is filed under the name uncultured bacterium. Its description in RNAcentral is "partial 16S ribosomal RNA". It matches the Rfam family "Bacterial small subunit ribosomal RNA", at positions 1253 to 1500 of the family's 1533-position model. The record is from RNAcentral.